Molecule: small RNA, 79 nt
Filed under: Arabidopsis thaliana (thale cress)
Lineage: Eukaryota; Viridiplantae; Streptophyta; Magnoliopsida; Brassicales; Brassicaceae
Description: ATSL100960
Source: RNAcentral
AUGUCACACAAAGCAUACUAACGUCAAAUAUACAGUAAACUUCUAUAAAUUAAUAAUAUCGGGACCAAAAAUUUGUAUU